UACAGAGGGUGCAAGCGUUGCUCGGAAUCAUUGGGCGUAAAGGGUAGGUAGGUGGUCUCAUUUGUCUGGGGUGAAAGCCUCGAGCUUAACUCGAGAAGUGCCCCGGAAACGGUGAGACUGGAGUCUUGGAGAGGGUCGUGGAAUUCCCGGUGUAGCGGUGAAAUGCGUAGAGAUCGGGAGGAACACCAGAGGCGAAGGCGGCGACCUGGACAAGUACUGACACUCAACUACGAAAGCGUGGGGAGCAAACAGG
RNAcentral lists this ribosomal RNA (253 nucleotides) under uncultured bacterium. Its description in RNAcentral is "partial 16S ribosomal RNA". It matches the Rfam family "Bacterial small subunit ribosomal RNA", at positions 524 to 776 of the family's 1533-position model. The record is from RNAcentral.